CGGGGUGAGGAGCUGCGGUCUGUGAGUCCUCUCCCGCCAAUGGGUGGACCGCGCUGGCGGCCGCGAGCUCGCGGAGCUGGUCAACAAUCUUGGAAGCCACACAUUGAAGCUGGAGGAGCUCCAAGGUAGAAGGACCCUGAGUUCCUGAAUUACUAUUUAGAGCCCACCUUUAAGUAGAAACACUCAUGUACGGGAGCAAGAGGUAUGUUGCAUUGUACAAGAUGAAGUUAGUGGACCCAACUCAGAAGUACAAUGGCCGAGGCGGGCGGAUCACGAGGUCAGGAGAUCGAGACCAUCCCGGCUAAAACGGUGAAACCCCGUCUCUACU
RNAcentral lists this long non-coding RNA (328 nucleotides) under Homo sapiens (human). RNAcentral describes it as "HSALNT0364244". The record is from RNAcentral. Lineage: Eukaryota; Metazoa; Chordata; Mammalia; Primates; Hominidae.